UAAGAAAGAAAUAAGCUAUAGUGAUAAAAUA
Molecule: non-coding RNA, 31 nt
Filed under: Rattus norvegicus (Norway rat)
Lineage: Eukaryota; Metazoa; Chordata; Mammalia; Rodentia; Muridae
Source: RNAcentral